GCCCCAGUGGCUCAACAGUUAAGUGCUCAGCUGCUAAAUGAGAGGUUGGUGGUUCGAAUGCACCCAGCAGCU
Molecule: transfer RNA, 72 nt
Filed under: Loxodonta africana (African savanna elephant)
Lineage: Eukaryota; Metazoa; Chordata; Mammalia; Proboscidea; Elephantidae
Rfam family: tRNA
About the family: Transfer RNA (tRNA) molecules are approximately 80 nucleotides in length. Their secondary structure includes four short double-helical elements and three loops (D, anti-codon, and T loops).
Source: Rfam by way of RNAcentral